AAUCAACGCUGGCGGCGUGCCUCAGACAUGCAAGUCGAACGCGAAAGUUUCCUUCGGGAGACAAGUAGAGUGGCGCACGGGUGAGUAACACGUAGGUAAUCUACCUUUGGAUGGGGAAUAACAACCGGAAACGGUUGCUAAUACCGCAUAAUGCAGCGGCACCUAAUGGUGACAGUUGUUAAAGCGGGGAGUCGAAGAACCUCGCGUCUGAAGAGGAGCCUGCGGCGGAUUAG
Molecule: ribosomal RNA, 233 nt
Filed under: uncultured bacterium
Lineage: Bacteria
Description: partial 16S ribosomal RNA
Rfam family: Bacterial small subunit ribosomal RNA
Source: RNAcentral